GCCAGCCAGCUCUGGACUGAAACCUCUACAAACUCACUAGGGAACACAGCUGAGAGAUAGAAUGUGGAGUAUCCUGGAGGACUAACACACUCUCUCCCUUCCUUGCUCUCUGGAUCUCCAACACAGAGAUGCGUCUGCGGAGAGACCAUACCAGUAGUUUUGCAGAUAAUACCUCAUGGAAAAUCAGAAGCCAUCCUGAGACCUACUAAGCAUUCAAUAAAUAUUCUCUGAAUGGAUUGAAUGGAUAAGUGAAUAUCACCAGACCCGAGAAGCCACACUUGAUAAGGUAGACUCACCUGAUAAUAAUAGUCAAGCCAAUAAUUUGUUACAAUGUGUCUAUAUGUUUUUUUGAUUUUGAAAAUACAUCAAAGUAAUUUGUGAUCAAAUACUUCAUGGCCACUAAAUUCACUGAAGUAGUUUGUGUCAUUUGUUUUUAAAUGAAAAUAUUUUGGUUGUAGGUCCUUGGUUCUACAGACCUCGAUAUGUCUAGUUAUUUUUCUCAUUUAUUACGGUAUUUUGGGGGAACAUAUUCCCUGUGUAAUUCAGGAUUCAGCUGGAGUUUGGGAAAUCACCAUUGUGGGAUUUUAAAAUCACAGCCUCUGGCUAGUCCCUGCCUUUUAAAGAAGUUUACUGAAACAUGCUCUGACCUUCAAUUUUAUGGGAAGCAGCAGUAACCAGUGGUCUCUGCAUAGCUCUGAGUAUUCCAUUGAGAAAUUUAUUUCUUCUUUUGAUCUUGCUGUACAUUUGGUAUUAAUUUUUUCUUGGUGUGUUUCCAUUUACACAUGAAUGAUCUCCGUCUGUUGUUAGCAGAGCAU
Heterocephalus glaber (naked mole-rat) is the source of this 815-nucleotide non-coding RNA. Lineage: Eukaryota; Metazoa; Chordata; Mammalia; Rodentia; Bathyergidae. The record is from RefSeq and is a predicted model, not a curated record.